GAGUUGUCGAGGAAGAAGUUGCAGAUAUUACAGCCGUAGAUCAUGCCGGAGCAGGGGCCGCCGCAGCCCGCGCAACUCUUUCCGCUGUAGUCCGCCUUCUUGCAUAUCACCAGCGAGUGCUUCGGGUGACUCAGGUAAAAUAUAGUUUCAAGGAUGUAUCCAUAAUAAAGAAAAAUUUCGAGGAGGAGAAUGCAAUUCUGAUCAUUUCUUCUAGAAUCUUAAGGAGUCCUUCAAACUUUUGAAGACCACAACCGAGAAAGCAUCUGAAAAGAAAAAAAAUUUAUAUAUAUAUAUAUAUAUAAACCAAAUUAAGAAUCAACUAUUCGGCAUUUCAUGCUGGACCGGGUCAUAGAGUUAUAUUGUGGUACAAAGCGGUCAAGGUGCAUUGUGGGACAGUCUAGACUUCAAGGUGCAAUGUAGAGCCAAGGGCAAUCACUCAUUAAUCUUCACACAUCGACGUAUUAAGGUUGUCACGAGCUACAAGGCAUGACCAAACCGCUAUCGAAUAGAUAGCAGCAGUCAUUGCUGAAGGGCAGAAGUGAAUUUACUAGACAAAUUGCACAACCGUUGAAAAGAACACCCCACACAACAAAGGGUUGAGAUCCACGAUACAAAACAGGGAACUGCAGAUGGAAUGCCAGGAAAAGAUCUUUUCUGGUAUCUACAUUGUUGAACAAAGCGAGAGUUACAGCAUACACGAUGUACGCUGCAUGAAUAGAAUGCAUGUAUGAACUAUACCACUCUUACAAACAACACUGGCAUUGGGCACUAUUAACUAUCUUCCGAUCGUGCAGCAAUGCCUUUCAUCGACUCAACAACUUGAAGGUUGCGCGAUCCCAUUGGCCAGAGAGAGCCCCAUCGUGCUGAAAAAAUAUGACCAUGAAGGAAACGUCACAUGAGCUCCUUUGCCAGUCUAAUCGGUUUUUCCUGCAAGAAUGCCACAUCACCAUUUGGUGAUUUCAGCAGGUGGUGAUCUGGGUCAUCCUCUCCGCUGUUGUCGCUCGCAAAUGAUCCACUUGAUUCCGAAAUAAUAUCUGCACUUGCACAACAUCAAAGCCGUAAUGACAGAGAGAAUUAGAACGAAGAAUGAAAAGUUGUUUUUGCACCUAAAACCUGUUAGUUUAGCUUCAGUCUCGUAUCAAAGAAUGGUAACGCCAUAUGUAUCAGAACCAUUCUCAUCUCAUUUCUUUGUUACCAUA
This is a non-coding RNA of Punica granatum (pomegranate), 1199 nucleotides long. NCBI's taxonomy places the organism in Eukaryota, Viridiplantae, Streptophyta, Magnoliopsida, Myrtales, Lythraceae. The record is from RefSeq and is a predicted model, not a curated record.